CAAGUCGAACGUGAAAGUUCUUCGGAAUGAGUAAAGUGGCGCACGGGUGAGUAAUGCUUGGGUAACGUACCAUUUCGCUGGGGAUAACUAGGGGAAACUUUAGCUAAUACCGAAUACACCUUCAGGAUGAUUUCUUGAAGGAAAAGCCGCAAGGCGCGAAGUGACCGGCCCAAGUCUCAUUAGCUUGUUGGUGGGGUAAUGGCCUACCAAGGCGACGAUGGGUAGCUGAUUUGAGAGGAUGAUCAGCCACACUGGUACUGGAACACGGACCAGACUCCUACGGGAGGCAGCAGUUAGGAAUUUUGCGCAAUGGGGGUAACCCUGACGCAGCAACGCCGCGUGAGUGAUGAAGGCCUUCGGGUUGUAAAGCUCUUUUAGCAGGAAAGAUAAUGACGGUACCUGCAGAAAAAGCACCGGCUAACUCCGUGCCAGCAGCCGCGGUAAUACGGAGGGUGCAAGCGUUAUUCGGAUUGACUGGGCGUAAAGCGCAUGUAGGUGGUUUACUAAGUCUGAUGUGAAAUCCCUGAACUCAAUUCAGGACCUGCAUUGGAUACUGGUAAGCUAGAGUAUAGGAGAGGAAAGCGGAAUUCCAGGUGUAGAGGUGAAAUUCGUAGAUAUCUGGAGGAACAACAGAGGCGAAGGCGGCUUUCUGGACUAUAACUGACACUGAGAUGCGAAAGCGUGGGGGAGCAAACAGGAUUAGAUACCCUGGUAGUCCACGCUGUAAACGAUGGAUACUAGAUGUCGGAAGUUCUUACCCUUUCGGUGUCGUAGCUAACGCGUUAAGUAUCCCGCCUGAGGACUACGGUCGCAAGAUUAAAACUCAAAGAAAUUGACGG
RNAcentral lists this ribosomal RNA (839 nucleotides) under uncultured bacterium. RNAcentral's name for it is "bacterial SSU rRNA". It matches the Rfam family "Bacterial small subunit ribosomal RNA", at positions 58 to 916 of the family's 1533-position model. The record is from RNAcentral.